RNAcentral lists this ribosomal RNA (491 nucleotides) under uncultured bacterium. RNAcentral's name for it is "partial 16S ribosomal RNA". It matches the Rfam family "Bacterial small subunit ribosomal RNA", at positions 29 to 507 of the family's 1533-position model. The record is from RNAcentral.
AGUGAACGCUGGCGGUAGGCCUAACACAUGCAAGUCGAACGGCAGCACAGUAAGAGCUUGCUCUUACGGGUGGCGAGUGGCGGACGGGUGAGGAAUACAUCGGAAUCUACUUUUUCGUGGGGGAUAACGUAGGGAAACUUACGCUAAUACCGCAUACGACCUACGGGUGAAAGCAGGGGAUCUUCGGACCUUGCGCGAUUGAAUGAGCCGAUGUCGGAUUAGCUAGUUGGCGGGGUAAAGGCCCACCAAGGCGACGAUCCGUAGCUGGUCUGAGAGGAUGAUAAGCCACACUGGAACUGAGACACGGUCCAGACUCCUACGGGAGGCAGCAGUGGGAAAUAUUGGACAAUGGGCGCAAGCCUGAUCCAGCCAUACCGCGUGGGUGAAGAAGGCCUUCGGGUUGUAAAGCCCUUUUUUUGGGAAAAAAAGGCAGCAGGUUAAUACCCCGCUGUUCUGACGGUACCCAAAGAAUAGCACCGGCUAACUUCGUG